Medicago truncatula (barrel medic) is the source of this 94-nucleotide microRNA precursor. It matches the Rfam family "MIR2587 microRNA precursor family". NCBI's taxonomy places the organism in Eukaryota, Viridiplantae, Streptophyta, Magnoliopsida, Fabales, Fabaceae. The record is from Rfam.
GUGUCAUGGUCAUUGCUGACCGUUUGUAUAAUCCCUGUAAUUGCUUUGCAGCUUAUGCGGGGAUUCUACGACGGUCAGCAGAUACCUUUGACAU